This 377-nucleotide ribosomal RNA is filed under the name Tubificoides kozloffi. RNAcentral's name for it is "partial 12S ribosomal RNA". It matches the Rfam family "Bacterial small subunit ribosomal RNA", at positions 875 to 1415 of the family's 1533-position model. Lineage: Eukaryota; Metazoa; Annelida; Clitellata; Tubificida; Naididae. The record is from RNAcentral.
CCCCUAACAUAAAUAACUACCGGAUACUACAAACCUAAAUUUAAAACUCAAAGAUCUUGGCGGUGUCUUAUACAAUCAGGGGAACCUGUCCCUUAAUUCGAUAAUCCACGAAUGCUCGAGCCCCUCUCGAAUAACAGCCUGUUUACUGCCGUCGAAAGUAUGCCUCUGAGAGUUAACAUACAGAAAUAAAUCUAUCCACGUCAGGUCAAGGUGCAGCCUACGGGGGGCAGGCGAUGGGUUACACACCUAAUAAAGGCUACCGCCCCACACUAAAAAGCGUGAAAAAAGCUGGACUUGAAAGUAAUAAUAUAUACUAUAAUAUUAUGAAUAGGAAUCUAAGACAUGUACAUAUCGCCCGUCGCUCUCGUCGAAAGAUG